This 497-nucleotide ribosomal RNA is filed under the name uncultured bacterium. Its description in RNAcentral is "partial 16S ribosomal RNA". It matches the Rfam family "Bacterial small subunit ribosomal RNA", at positions 28 to 507 of the family's 1533-position model. The record is from RNAcentral.
GAUGAACGCUGGCGGCGUGCCUAAUACAUGCAAGUCGAGCGAACAGACGAGGAGCUUGCUCCUCUGACGUUAGCGGCGGACGGGUGAGUAACACGUGGAUAACCUACCUAUAAGACUGGGAUAACUUCGGGAAACCGGAGCUAAUACCGGAUAAUAUAUUGAACCGCAUGGUUCAAUAGUGAAAGACGGUUUUGCUGUCACUUAUAGAUGGAUCCGCGCCGCAUUAGCUAGUUGGUAAGGUAACGGCUUACCAAGGCAACGAUGCGUAGCCGACCUGAGAGGGUGAUCGGCCACACUGGAACUGAGACACGGUCCAGACUCUUACGGGAGGCAGCAGUAGGGAAUCUUCCGCAAUGGGCGAAAGCCUGACGGAGCAACGUCGCGUGAGUGAUGAAGGUCUUCGGAUCGUAAAACUCUGUUAUUAGGGAAGAACAAAUGUGUAAGUAACUAUGCACGUCUUGACGGUACCUAAUCAGAAAGCCACGGCUAACUACGUG